AUUGAACGCUGGCGGCAUGCCUUACACAUGCAAGUCGAACGGUAACAGCACUUCGGUGGCUGACGAGUGGCGAACGGGUGAGUAAUACAUCGGAACGUGCCCGAGAGUGGGGAUAACGCAGCGAAAGCUGUGCUAAUACCGCAUACGAUCUACGGAUGAAAGCAGGGGAUUCGCAAGGACCUUGCGCUCAUGGAGCGGCCGAUGGCAGAUUAGGUAGUUGGUGGGAUAAAAGCUUACCAAGCCGACGAUCUGUAGCUGGUCUGAGAGGACGACCAGCCACACUGGGACUGAGACACGGCCCAGACUCCUACGGGAGGCAGCAGUGGGAAUCUUAGACAAUGGGGGCAACCCUGAUCUAGCCAUGCCGCGUGAGUGAUGAAGGCCUUAGGGUUGUAAAGCUCUUUCAGCUGGGAAGAUAAUGACGGUACCAGCAGAAGAAGCCCCGGCUAACUCCGUGCCAGCAGCCG
Molecule: ribosomal RNA, 467 nt
Filed under: uncultured bacterium
Lineage: Bacteria
Description: bacterial SSU rRNA
Rfam family: Bacterial small subunit ribosomal RNA
Source: RNAcentral